RNAcentral lists this long non-coding RNA (362 nucleotides) under Pan troglodytes (chimpanzee). RNAcentral's name for it is "long non-coding RNA NONPTRT004073". The record is from RNAcentral. Lineage: Eukaryota; Metazoa; Chordata; Mammalia; Primates; Hominidae.
GUGAAGGAACAUGGCUCUGAAUCAUGCCUGUCUGUCUCCCCAGGUCUGUGCUUAAAACCACGAAGUUCAAGAUGGAAACUGAAGGGAAGAGUGUCAAGGGGAUGGGAGAGAGGACUUGUCCAUGACUUUGGCAGCAUAAGGAAAAAAUACCCAGGGACAAGUGGCGACUUUGGAAACUCCAUUCCUCUGCAAAAUGACAUCACGAGGAGAGUGGUGGGGCCUGGGGGUGAAAAGAUCUGGCUUCUCCUCCCAACUCUGCUAUGAGGAAGCGCUGGAUGGCCCUGUCGGCCGCGGUCAUCGCCGCCUCGGCCCGGGAGCUCAGCAUUGCAGCCGCACCGGAGGCCUGAAACCGUCUCCUCCGC